UGAUUUUCUUUUUGUAGAUGGAUAACAUGGAGUGCUUUUUCAAGGAGAAAAUGGGUGUCAUUGCUGAACUUCGAAGUUCUGGAGUACCUAUGGAAUGUGCCUAGCCAUUGCAUAGCAUGGAAGUAGGGCUUGGUUGCAGAAAUAUGUGCUUUGACUAUAGAAAUAGCAUGGAACCAGAGCCAGGAAGGUGCAGAAGAACAGAUGGAAAGAAAUGGUGAUUCUCUAAGGAUGUGGUGUCGGAUCAAAAGUACUAUGAGCGCCACAUGCAUAGAGGUCGUCAACGUUCAAGAAAGCCUGUGGAAGGCAAUGCCACUGCCAACAACAACACCACCACCACCACCAAAUACACCAUCGAUUCCAACACCAAUCUCUCCAUUUCAAUCUUCUUUAAUUACGGAGAGAAUAUUUUGUAUGUUCAAAUUUAAAUAGUCUUACUGGGAUCCACCACAUUGCUUGUAGAAACUAGCACAGCCGAAUUACACUGCUGCGGCCUCACCAUAAAGCUGAUUGCAAGGAUCGAUCUACAAGCUAUGGCCCAAAAACUGAUUUACUAAAUACAUGUCACAUUUUAAGGACAAGCUCAAACAUAAGCGUUUUGCUGCAGUCAUAAUGCGGAUAAGGGAGCCGAAAACAACAGCUUUAAUAUUUGCAUCCGGUAAAAUGGUGAGUUGAUACUUCAUGGGUUAUGAGAGACUUCUAAUAGUAGAAGGAAGAUCUUGUGGCUGAUUAGAUUGUAACUCUUUUAAGAGAAUAAGUGCUAUGAACCUUUUCAUGAUAAUUCGUAGAACUUAAAUACCACAGCAGGUGUCUGUGCUCUAAGCACCUAGAUGAUGCGAGUUUAUGGUUGUGCAAGGAAUGAAGAUUGGCAAGUCCAGGAAAUGACAGAAACUGAUGAAAUUUCCCAGUAUUUAUAGCGAAGAGUUCUACCUCGAAUUUCAGUAGGCACUUGUUAUUGGGGUUUUAUAAGUAGGGACUGCAGCAGCUGGAUCUCGUGUCACAUUUCAAUGAUCCAAACCGUUUAUAUGAUGGGCCUCAAAGCAGAUGGGGGCUGCUUGGAUGUCCUGCUCACAGUUGGGGCUUAUUCAACAGCUAGAGGCACGGUGAUCUCAAGGUUGUUUAUUAGAUUCUUUUGGUUUGGACUCAGUUCAGUAUUUGUAACAUAUAUCUACAUGUGAGUGUAGUAUUAUGUUUGAAAUUUACAUUUUCAUAUUGUUGUGGCAGACCCAUGGUCCCUUUUUGCUAUUGCUGUACAAUAGUUUUUUAUAUCCUUGUACUCAUACAUGCUUCCCAAACUGCAUUGCAGGAAGGUUCUGGAGGAAAAGAUAACCGGAACUCAGAUUCUUUCUAUUUUUGGAUUUAUAUUCUUGUGUUGGGAGUUUAUGUUGGCAUACGCAUAUUUCUUGCUUUGCUACUUAAAUUCCCAGCU
Molecule: long non-coding RNA, 1426 nt
Organism: Magnolia sinica
Lineage: Eukaryota; Viridiplantae; Streptophyta; Magnoliopsida; Magnoliales; Magnoliaceae
Exons: 6
Source: RefSeq, a predicted model, not a curated record